RNAcentral lists this long non-coding RNA (331 nucleotides) under Elaeis guineensis (African oil palm). RNAcentral's name for it is "long non-coding RNA (EGUI_LNC029642)". Lineage: Eukaryota; Viridiplantae; Streptophyta; Magnoliopsida; Arecales; Arecaceae. The record is from RNAcentral.
UCGCAAGUGGUGUGGUCUGGGUCAUGUGAUGUCGUUCUGAUCAUGUGUCUCGAGUUGCCAUGUUGCGAUCCCAAGUGUCUACCAUGUUUUCGAAAUUUAGCAUGUAAAUGGGAUGGAUAAAAUAUGCCCCAACAUUUACCCCCCACUUUUCAAUUCGAAGUAUUCAUUCUGGGAAGUAGAUUGCUUUUGGAAUUUCGAAGUCAUGUGCUGAAGUGAGCCUCUUUGUUGUUAUGAGAUUGCUUAUAGCAGCCGGGCUCCCUUGGGUUUGACCAUGAUAGGAUACUUGGUACGGCAUGAGCUGGGUCGCUGAAUCAUCUCCUGUCGCUUGGCA